Molecule: long non-coding RNA, 1848 nt
Filed under: Homo sapiens (human)
Lineage: Eukaryota; Metazoa; Chordata; Mammalia; Primates; Hominidae
Description: HSALNT0316275
Source: RNAcentral
UCUCCCUCCCGCAAGCACACAGAUCCUCUCUUCUCUCCAUGUAGUCACUACUUGGGGAAGGGGAAUGGGUGGUAUCAGCAAUUCAAGACUGAUUUCUUUUCCAUCUUCAGCGCCCCUUUCCUUGAUAUGAUGUUAAAACCAGAACAAGAAACAGAUCGAGGAAGAGGCAGAGUAACAACAGCCGGGAAGAAGAUACAGUUUUGUCAUUUUGUAGUGAGACUGUGCCCUAUACAUGAACCUAUUUGCCAGACCCAUCAAGUGAAUUCCGUGAUUCUUAUGAAAAAUGCCAUUAGACCUGUGAGAGGGGCUGUGACAGUGGAACCCGAAUGAAGACAGGAAAAGUCUGUAGAGGACUGAUGGUUAUGUUCACCAUUCAAAUUGCAAGAAAACCAAUAAGAAGUCAGUAAAGUGCAUUCAAAGAGAAAGGUGGGACUCGUGAAGGGGCCAAGGGAAAAGAGCUUCAUUAGCAUAUUUGUCAAGCAGAUGUGAAAUGAGGCAGAAAACUACUAGAACAAUUGGAGAAAUCUAGAAUAUGAAGUUCCAGCACAAACUUAGAUGGCUUCUAACUAUGUGAAGGUUUGAACAGCAGCUUCUGACAUAGAAAAUAACCACAGCAAAAAGAAGCACUAACAAGUGACAGAUGUGGUUGACUCAUCUCCUUCUCCCUUCGACUCUCUAAUGAGCAAUUAAAUAGCCUGAAACAGAACAAUCAAGAGGUCUGGCAAAUCCACACACUAGCAGCAAUACUAAACUGAUACACAAAGGAUCCCCGUACUUCAUCAAAAUAUCAAUGUUGUCCAUGACACACAAAGAACCCAGCUGUAGUUUAAUUCAGCAUCACAGUCCCAACAUGUUUUAAAACAUGUUCCAGCUUUUGGUCCCAGGAUUAUUCAACCUAGCUCAUAAAAGAAAACAAUAUUGCAUUUCUAAGUAUUGGCUCCUAGAAUUGGCAAGUUUAGUCAAGAAAAGCUGGAAUGCCGUUAAAACAACACCCUGUCAUCUUUCAAUCAGUCCUUAGCUGAAGUUAAAAUCCCACUCAUUCUGCAUGAUCCAGCCUCUGUAGCAUAGAGUGAGUAGCCCCUUAACAAGAACCAAAAUGGAGGGUACGGAUGAGGCUCAGAUCGUCACCACCUGGAGAAUAGAGACAGUGACUGAGUCACCAGGAAAUCUGUCCCCUGCUCAUCCCAGAAUCCCCGAGCUUUGACUUUUUAAGAGAACAUGUGACAGAUAAUGCCAUCUGAGAAGAUUCACAGAGCAACCAAAUAAAGAUGAUUGAGUGAAUGGCUAAAGAAAUAAAUAUGUUCGAAUCUGUACCCAUCUCAUGUCUUUCCUGAUGAUUGCCUCCUUUACUGUAUGUUUUCCACUGAGAUGAAGAUUUUGGUCAUUUCCUCAUUCAUGUUCCUGCUUUUCAAAACCCAAGCAAGAAAGGAAACUUCUACAGUGACUUUCUCAUUAUGAAAUCUUAGCAUUCACUAGUCGGCCAUAAUGGAAAACCAGCCAAAUGGACACAUAUACACUGGUCUGUACCCGCAGAGAAAGAAAUGCAAAUCUCUGUGAUCAGAAAACUAUCCUAUCUUGUACAUUGUUAAAAGUCUGCCUCCAAAAAGUUUACUUCUGGAAUACUGUAAUUGAAUAGAAUCAGGGAUCCUACCUGUGUCCUUCAACUUUCACAUCUUGUCUACUCAAGUAAGGGUUGAAUUUGCAUGACUAUAUCUAAGGUUCGAGGGCUUACCUGUUGGCAGUAGACCCAGUAGUCUAUGAAUGGAAAUGGGCAAACCUGUGACCUCCCAAAACUUUAAUAUGAAAGUUUUGUUUGUGUAUACUCAUGGCAUUAUUCUUUUAAUAAAG